RNAcentral lists this small RNA (131 nucleotides) under Pantoea ananatis. RNAcentral describes it as "RtT sRNA". It matches the Rfam family "RtT RNA". Rfam says of the family: This family represents a bacterial cis-regulatory element known as RtT RNA. The record is from RNAcentral. Lineage: Bacteria; Pseudomonadati; Pseudomonadota; Gammaproteobacteria; Enterobacterales; Erwiniaceae.
UUUUCGCCUGAAUAAAAGAGGAUGAGCACCGCCGAAGGCGGUUUGCGCCGGGCGUCAGCGAGACAACGUUGCGAACGCAACGGCCCGAAGGGCGCGUCCCGCAGGGGCGCGUAAUCCUCUCUCGCCGACCA